GAUGAACGCUGGCGGCGUGCUUAACACAUGCAAGUCGAACGGGAAACCUUUUAAUGAAUCUUCGGCAGCUUUAGCUGGCUUCUAGUGGCGGACGGGUGAGUAACGCGUGGAUAACCUGCCUUAUACAGGGGGAUAACAGUCAGAAAUGACUGCUAAUACCGCAUAAGCGCACAGGACCGCAUGGUCCGGUGUGAAAAACUCCGCUGGUAUGAGAUGGACCCGCAUUGGAUUAGCUUGCUGGUGGGGUAACGGCUCAGCAAGGCGACGAACCAUAGCCGGGCUGGGAGGGGGACCGGCCAGGAUGGGACUGAGGCACGGACCAGACCGCGACGGGAGGCAGGAGAGGAGAAUAUUGUGCGAGAGAGGAAAACGUAGCGCAGCGGCGCGGCGUGUAAGAACAAGUAGCUCGGUAUGUAAACUUCGCAGAGCAGGAGAGAAAGUGACGGUACCUGAAUAAGAAGCCCCGGCUAACUACGUG
This 478-nucleotide ribosomal RNA is filed under the name uncultured bacterium. RNAcentral's name for it is "partial 16S ribosomal RNA". It matches the Rfam family "Bacterial small subunit ribosomal RNA", at positions 28 to 507 of the family's 1533-position model. The record is from RNAcentral.